RNAcentral lists this long non-coding RNA (826 nucleotides) under Cricetulus griseus (Chinese hamster). RNAcentral's name for it is "lncRNA (ENSCGRG00015041887.1)". Lineage: Eukaryota; Metazoa; Chordata; Mammalia; Rodentia; Cricetidae. The record is from RNAcentral.
GAAAAAAUGCUUUAGAGCAGUGAGAAAACGCACUCCAGAGGAAGAGGAGGAAGAAUCCAAGGUAAAAUGCAAGAACUGUGGAGCCUUCGGUCACAUGGCAAUGAGUAACAUGUGUCCCAUGGAACGCUGGGAUGAAGCCCUUCCUGUCCAAUUUCUGGGGUCAAACAAGGAGAAGGAGAAACUGAAAACAGUGCAGGCCCAGCAGCUCCAGACUCCAGGAAUAUUUAAAAAUACUGAGGGAGAGGAGAAAGAACAAAAAAUGCAAGAAGUGAUACCAAGGAAAACUCUAACACAGAAAUAUCCUAGAAGGUCUCCAAAGAAGAGGCCGAGGAGCUUGGUAGAACAAGAAGAAAUUUCUUAUUUUUUGAGGAAACCUACGAGACCAUCACUUAUUUACCUGACCAAGAAGAAAACUUCAUUGGAUCCUAUCUGAUUGGUCUCCCACUAGUCAAGACAUCUGAUAUGAGAACAACUACCCCCUCAUGUUUUUACAAAAAUAAGAACAAGAAGAGAACACUUAUGGAUUAGUGGAAGCACAUGAUAUUGGAUUCUCAGACACCCUGGAAUCCAUUUGGAUGAACUUCCAGGAUUCUUCCCCAGGAUAAAAAUCACAAGGAUGUGUUGUUUCCCUCAAGUGUGCUCUUCAGCCUGAUUGGAAGAUACCUUAUUCAGCACAUGACAUUAAUGUCCAGACAAAUAUGAAUCAUCCUGGUACAGCUCCAACUUCCUGUGUAUUAUAUGUGAUACCAAGUGUGGCCAGGACUGUGAAGUCGGAAUUCAGGCUCCAGGAAAGAAACCUCUCCAAUUGACCAGCCAGGAGAACCAG